AUGCCACUGUAUCUUUCUUAUAUAGGGCUAUGGAGCCUAUGGAGAUCAUGCUGGUUUCUUCAAGGAUAAAAUUAUGGAAUCAAAUUUAGAAGAAGGAAGACCAUUUGCUCAAG
Lonchura striata (white-rumped munia) is the source of this 113-nucleotide non-coding RNA. The record is from RefSeq and is a predicted model, not a curated record. Lineage: Eukaryota; Metazoa; Chordata; Aves; Passeriformes; Estrildidae.